Molecule: ribosomal RNA, 497 nt
Filed under: uncultured bacterium
Lineage: Bacteria
Description: partial 16S ribosomal RNA
Rfam family: Bacterial small subunit ribosomal RNA
Source: RNAcentral
GAUGAACGCUGGCGGCGUGCCUAAUACAUGCAAGUCGAGCGAACAGACGAGGAGCUUGCUCCUUUGACGUUAGCGGCGGUCGGGUGAGUAACACGUGGGUAACCUACCUAUAAGACUGGGAUAACUUCGGGAAACCGGAGCUAAUACCGGAUAAUAUUUCGAACCGCAUGGUUCGAUAGUGAAAGAUGGCUUUGCUAUCACUUAUAGAUGGACCUGCGCCGUAUUAGCUAGUUGGUAAGGUAACGGCUUACCAAGGCAACGAUACGUAGCCGACCUGAGAGGGUGAUCGGCCACACUGGAACUGAGACACGGUCCAGACUCCUACGGGAGGCAGCAGUAGGGAAUCUUCCGCAAUGGGCGAAAGCCUGACGGAGCAACGCCGCGUGAGUGAUGAAGGUCUUCGGAUCGUAAAACUCUGUUAUUAGGGAAGAACAAACGUGUAAGUAACUGUGCACGUCUUGACGGUACCUAAUCAGAAAGCCACGGCUAACUACGUG